This 2905-nucleotide ribosomal RNA is filed under the name Enterobacter asburiae. Its description in RNAcentral is "23S ribosomal RNA". It matches the Rfam family "Bacterial large subunit ribosomal RNA". Lineage: Bacteria; Pseudomonadati; Pseudomonadota; Gammaproteobacteria; Enterobacterales; Enterobacteriaceae. The record is from RNAcentral.
GGUUAAGCGACUAAGCGUACACGGUGGAUGCCCUGGCAGUCAGAGGCGAUGAAGGACGUGCUAAUCUGCGAAAAGCGCCGGCGAGGUGAUAUGAACCUUUGACCCGGCGAUGUCCGAAUGGGGAAACCCAGUGCAAUUCGUUGCACUAUCGUUAACUGAAUACAUAGGUUAACGAGGCGAACCGGGGGAACUGAAACAUCUAAGUACCCCGAGGAAAAGAAAUCAACCGAGAUUCCCCCAGUAGCGGCGAGCGAACGGGGAGCAGCCCAGAGUCUGAAUCAGCUUGUGUGUUAGUGGAACGGUCUGGAAAGUCCGGCGAUACAGGGUGAUAGCCCCGUACACGAAAGCACACAGGCUGUGAACUCGAAGAGUAGGGCGGGACACGUGGUAUCCUGUCUGAAUAUGGGGGGACCAUCCUCCAAGGCUAAAUACUCCUGACUGACCGAUAGUGAACCAGUACCGUGAGGGAAAGGCGAAAAGAACCCCGGCGAGGGGAGUGAAAAAGAACCUGAAACCGUGUACGUACAAGCAGUGGGAGCACCUUCGUGGUGUGACUGCGUACCUUUUGUAUAAUGGGUCAGCGACUUAUAUUCUGUAGCAAGGUUAACCGUAUAGGGGAGCCGAAGGGAAACCGAGUCUUAACUGGGCGUUAAGUUGCAGGGUAUAGACCCGAAACCCGGUGAUCUAGCCAUGGGCAGGUUGAAGGUUGGGUAACACUAACUGGAGGACCGAACCGACUAAUGUUGAAAAAUUAGCGGAUGACUUGUGGCUGGGGGUGAAAGGCCAAUCAAACCGGGAGAUAGCUGGUUCUCCCCGAAAGCUAUUUAGGUAGCGCCUCGUGAACUCAUCUUCGGGGGUAGAGCACUGUUUCGGCUAGGGGGCCAUCCCGGCUUACCAACCCGAUGCAAACUACGAAUACCGAAGAAUGUUAUCACGGGAGACACACGGCGGGUGCUAACGUCCGUCGUGAAGAGGGAAACAACCCAGACCGCCAGCUAAGGUCCCAAAGUCAUGGUUAAGUGGGAAACGAUGUGGGAAGGCACAGACAGCCAGGAUGUUGGCUUAGAAGCAGCCAUCAUUUAAAGAAAGCGUAAUAGCUCACUGGUCGAGUCGGCCUGCGCGGAAGAUGUAACGGGGCUAAACCAUGCACCGAAGCUGCGGCAGCGACGCUUAGGCGUUGUUGGGUAGGGGAGCGUUCUGUAAGCCGUUGAAGGUGGCCUGUGAGGGUUGCUGGAGGUAUCAGAAGUGCGAAUGCUGACAUAAGUAACGAUAAAGCGGGUGAAAAGCCCGCUCGCCGGAAGACCAAGGGUUCCUGUCCAACGUUAAUCGGGGCAGGGUGAGUCGACCCCUAAGGCGAGGCCGAAAGGCGUAGUCGAUGGGAAACAGGUUAAUAUUCCUGUACUUGGUGUUACUGCGAAGGGGGGACGGAGAAGGCUAUGUUAGCCGGGCGACGGUUGUCCCGGUUUAAGCAUGUAGGCGGAGGUUCCAGGUAAAUCCGGUACCUUUUAACGCUGAGGUGUGAUGACGAGGCACUACGGUGCUGAAGUAACAAAUGCCCUGCUUCCAGGAAAAGCCUCUAAGCAUCAGGUAACACGAAAUCGUACCCCAAACCGACACAGGUGGUCAGGUAGAGAAUACCAAGGCGCUUGAGAGAACUCGGGUGAAGGAACUAGGCAAAAUGGUGCCGUAACUUCGGGAGAAGGCACGCUGAUAUGUAGGUGAAGCCCCUGCGGGUGGAGCUGAAAUCAGUCGAAGAUACCAGCUGGCUGCAACUGUUUAUUAAAAACACAGCACUGUGCAAACACGAAAGUGGACGUAUACGGUGUGACGCCUGCCCGGUGCCGGAAGGUUAAUUGAUGGGGUUAGCGGCAACGCGAAGCUCUUGAUCGAAGCCCCGGUAAACGGCGGCCGUAACUAUAACGGUCCUAAGGUAGCGAAAUUCCUUGUCGGGUAAGUUCCGACCUGCACGAAUGGCGUAAUGAUGGCCAGGCUGUCUCCACCCGAGACUCAGUGAAAUUGAACUCGCUGUGAAGAUGCAGUGUACCCGCGGCAAGACGGAAAGACCCCGUGAACCUUUACUAUAGCUUGACACUGAACACUGGUCCUUGAUGUGUAGGAUAGGUGGGAGGCUUUGAAGCGUGGACGCCAGUCUGCGUGGAGCCAUCCUUGAAAUACCACCCUUUAAUGGCUGGUGUUCUAACGUAGACCCGUAAUCCGGGUUGCGGACAGUGUCUGGUGGGUAGUUUGACUGGGGCGGUCUCCUCCCAAAGAGUAACGGAGGAGCACGAAGGUUAGCUAAUCCUGGUCGGACAUCAGGAGGUUAGUGCAAUGGCAUAAGCUAGCUUGACUGCGAGAGUGACGGCUCGAGCAGGUGCGAAAGCAGGUCAUAGUGAUCCGGUGGUUCUGAAUGGAAGGGCCAUCGCUCAACGGAUAAAAGGUACUCCGGGGAUAACAGGCUGAUACCGCCCAAGAGUUCAUAUCGACGGCGGUGUUUGGCACCUCGAUGUCGGCUCAUCACAUCCUGGGGCUGAAGUAGGUCCCAAGGGUAUGGCUGUUCGCCAUUUAAAGUGGUACGCGAGCUGGGUUUAGAACGUCGUGAGACAGUUCGGUCCCUAUCUGCCGUGGGCGCUGGAGAAUUGAGGGGGGCUGCUCCUAGUACGAGAGGACCGGAGUGGACGCAUCACUGGUGUUCGGGUUGUCAUGCCAAUGGCACUGCCCGGUAGCUAAAUGCGGAAAAGAUAAGUGCUGAAAGCAUCUAAGCACGAAACUUGCCCCGAGAUGAGUUCUCCCUGAGACUUUAAGUCUCCUGAAGGAACGUUAAAGACUAUGACGUUGAUAGGUCGGGUGUGUAAGCGCAGCGAUGCGUUGAGCUAACCGAUACUAAUGAACCGUGAGGCUUAACCUU